CCCAGACUCCUACGGGAGGCAGCAGUGGGGGAUAUUGCACAAUGGGGGGAACCCUGAUGCAGCGACGCCGCGUGGGUGAAGGAGCGUUUCGGCGCGUAAAGCCCUAUCGGCAGGGAAGAAGGAGGACGGUACCUGACUAAGAAGCCCCGGCUAACUACGUGCCAGCAGCCGCGGUAAUACGUAGGGGGCAAGCGUUAUCCGGAUUUACUGGGUGUAAAGGGAGCGUAGACGGCUUGGCAAGCCAGAUGUGAAAGGCUGGGGCUCAACCCCAGGACUGCAUUUGGAACUGUCAUGCUAGAGUGUCGGAGAGGCAGGCGGAAUUCCUAGUGUAGCGGUGAAAUGCGUAGAUAUCAGGAGGAACACCGGUGGCGAAGGCGGCCUGCUGGACUGCAACUGACGUUGAGGCUCGAAGGCGUGGGGAGCAAACAGGAUUAGAUACCCUUGUA
Molecule: ribosomal RNA, 446 nt
Filed under: uncultured bacterium
Lineage: Bacteria
Description: partial 16S ribosomal RNA
Rfam family: Bacterial small subunit ribosomal RNA
Source: RNAcentral